RNAcentral lists this long non-coding RNA (574 nucleotides) under Triticum aestivum (bread wheat). RNAcentral describes it as "long non-coding RNA (TAES_LNC017972)". The record is from RNAcentral. Lineage: Eukaryota; Viridiplantae; Streptophyta; Magnoliopsida; Poales; Poaceae.
AGAACUCGAAACUCUAAACAAACUAGACACUAAGACCAGCAACUCGACACGACGAUGCAACCGAUAAUUCAAUAAUGCAAACAAUGAAAAGAAAAUUGCAAAGGCUCAGACUGGCUUGGACAAAAAGGAUGAAUAGAUCUAACUUUUUUGUGGCUUUUUCUUGGACAAUAGGUAAGAAAAUAAAUCUAAUCUAGGGGAAACUGGAAAUUCUCACCGAGCAACCUGAAAACUGAUACCACUUGAUAGAGGCGAGGGUGUCCCGAUCUUUCGAUGAGAUGAUAACUAUCGAUUCUUGCUUCAUCUAUAUUCGAGGGUGUCCCGAUCUUUUGACAAAUAUGCACUAGAGAUCACCGAGCAACCUGGCUCUGAUACCACUUGAUAGAGGCGAGGGUGUCCCGAUCUUUUGAUGAGAUGAUAACUAUCGAUUUGGUGGAGUCAAGUUUGACGAUCCGACUACAAACGUGCACGACGUUGCGCCUUAGCAAUCGCUAAACCAACUUUGAGAGGUUAUUGACCACGCCGGAGCAUGAUCAACCUGACCACGAAGGUCCAUCCCUGCACACAAUCGAAGAAC